RNAcentral lists this long non-coding RNA (2010 nucleotides) under Solanum tuberosum (potato). Its description in RNAcentral is "long non-coding RNA (STUB_LNC010161)". The record is from RNAcentral. Lineage: Eukaryota; Viridiplantae; Streptophyta; Magnoliopsida; Solanales; Solanaceae.
UCCCUUCUUGUUUAUCUGUAUUUCAUGGACAGGAUGAGUUCUGUAUUUCAUGGACAGGAUGAGUUCGGCAAAAUUGGCCAUUAGCUUUAACUUAAAUUUUGUAUUUGAGUUUAAAAGUUUUCAGGAAUCCACUGAGCUGCAUUAUUUAAUAUUCAGAACUUAUAAAAAAUCAAAAUUCUAAUUUCAACUUUGUUGGUACUCAAAAUUAGAGAUUCGCCUAUGAAUUCGGCAAAACUAACAACGUAUUUAUACUUAAAAAAUGUACUUAAUUUGUAAAAACAAUUUAUUAGGAAUCUACUAAAGCUGCACAAUUUAGUAUCCAAAAGUUAUAAACUCAAAAUUCCUCCCUCAGCUUUAUUGGUACUCAAAACUGAAUUCGGCAAAAGUAGUAGCUAACUUUAACUACUUUUAAAUUCUGUAUUUGUGUUAAAAAAACUAUUUAAUAUGUAACAUUAAUUUAUCAAGAAUUCACUAAACUUCUUUUUAUGAUAUUGAAAACUCACAAACUAAAAAUUCUAAUUUCACCUCCAUUGAUAUGAUACUCAAUUUGUUUUGACAACAAUUUUAUUACCCAUAGAAACAAAAGCUACAAAUAAAUAUGCGAGUGUCAUGUGAAUAUAUACAUGUUUUUUAUUUGACAGUCUUCACUCACUCACAAUUCUAACAUGUGAAUAUAUAUAUGUCUUACGAUUGUUUUUCUAAAAACUUAUUUUUGAAAACUAACAAAAACCAAAUAUUAAUGUCACCUUGAUAUUAUCAUCCACUUGCCAUUGUAUUUUAGUGAAGCAUUUAAAGGAAAACGUGGAGCCAUAACCACCUUAAAUUAAAGCUAGCAAAUAAAUACUGUCGGAAAUUUGGUAUUUACUUUUCAGUCUGCGUAAUCAGAUUAUAAAAUUAAUACUAUAUGCUGAAAAAAAAUAAUCAUUCAUGCUAAUCAUAUACUUUAUGUUGCUCAAAUUUUUCAAAAGUAUACUAUUUUUGAAAGAUUAGAUACAUACCAAUCAACACUUAUUUGAGGAAUUCGAGCAAUGUAGCUAAUGCUUCUUUUGUUUAUUUUUUAUUUAUCAUAUUUGGACUUGACAUAUUCAUUAAAAAAAUAAUGAAUGACAUGACUAUUUUACUAUAUUAUUUCUAUUAAAUGAUGUUUAAUAUUAAGUAUUAAAACAAAAAAAUAGAUAAUUAAUGCUAAGGAUAAAACAUGAAAAAAUAACCAUUUUUUAAAAAUAUGUUAGAAAUAACAACUAAAAAUUAAAAUCCAUUUUAAAAGAGGAAACAAAUGAAAGUGAACAAAUAAAACGAUUAAUGGUAGGUAAGCAUUUAAACUAAGCAUAGGAAAAUAUGAACACUAACCUAAUAAUGGACCAAUUAUAACCUUCUACACUAGUGUAUCGGGCCGGGCUGGUUGGAGGUCAUCCCAGUCCAAUCCAUUAGCAGGCAUAGGCUUAAUAGGUGAGUCUUAAGGGGCUUAGUUCGGGCUCGGGCUCGGGCUCGGGCUCAGGUGCAGGCUGGUCUCAUCAGGAGCCUAGACCGGUACUGUGGGCCCAACACAUAGAGAACCUCUUAACUAGGCCUUCACCCUCUAUCCCCUUUCAGGGGUUCCAAGCCCAACCUUAUCUAAUUAGCGGUCAGUCAGUCAGUCACUUAACAUUCUUACCUUCCGCAAAGUAUCAUAUACAAACUUAUAAAAUGUACCUAAUUAAUCAGCACAUCACAUGUUGCGCUCUUGCAACUGAAGCAAACAUCAUCAUAACAUAUUUAGCAUGAAAGAUCAACAUGAAGCACCAAAAGCGAGCAUGAAGAAGCCAUAAAACUCAAGAUGGAUAGCGCUAUAGAUAGUUAUUAAGAUGUAUUCAUGGUGCUAUCCCUCCUGAGCUUUAUAGAUUCUCUAUACCAAUUCCACAAGAACAACAUACAUAGUUUAUCUCCAACACAUAUACAUAUAUAUUGAGUGAGAAAAUGAAUGGCAAAAGGAGAAAGAAGUACUAAUAAAAAGAUAUAUAGAUAAAUGUA